Oxyura jamaicensis (ruddy duck) is the source of this 926-nucleotide long non-coding RNA. RefSeq lists it as uncharacterized. The record is from RefSeq and is a predicted model, not a curated record. Lineage: Eukaryota; Metazoa; Chordata; Aves; Anseriformes; Anatidae. The transcript is spliced from 2 exons.
GAACCUUGGGUAGAAAGUUGUUGGUCAGGAGAACCCAUCACCUACGUCCUCAGCCUGAGAAAAAGGAGUAAUUUCCUUAAAAUUUAACCAAAUCCACCGUAUCCAUCCCCGUUUCUACCCCUCCCCUUUUUAUGCAGCUUUCCAAUGGGUAAAGAACUUUCCAGAAGAAUUUUCUUCUCUGCCUUGCAGCUGCGGGAGACAGGCGGCCAAAUGCAACCGAGCUGCCUUAGCAACCUUUCCUGGCUUGUGAUACCACCAAGUUAAAAUAACUUGGAUUAAAAAAAAUACUGAUCAACAUCAGAAGCGAGCUGACAGGCUGCUGGGAUCCACAAAGGAGGCUAAUAAUUAAAGAGAGAUGGUCUCCAAGGAUUGUAGGUGGACAGAAUCAGCUAGCAUACUGGGUGGCCUCUGUCUCCUUGAUGUAAAGAAAGUAAGAACACAAGAGGAUCUCCAGGUGUUGAUGGCAGCUGACCUGAUCAGAACAGCAAUCUGCACACCCCUGGGCAGAUGUUUCUACUGUCUUGGAAGUACAAAAGUUUGUCCUUUUGAACACUGGAAAAUAUGAAGCCUGGCUUCUCAUGAGCUUGUCCCCUGUGUUUGGAUACCCUAACACUGCAGUUUCAGCAUGCCCUGCCCUUCAAUAUCCUCCUUAUCCAGCUACGUCACCAACUCACUGCCUUCCUCCCACGGACUGGUGAGGACGAUCUAUUGUAUCCUGGAAUAUGGGUGUAGAGUGACUGGCCAGCAGAUAAAAAAAAUACAAGCCCCAAAAUACACAAGAACUUCCCUUUAGGCAGAACUAGUUUGUAUUUUCCUCCCUUGCAUUUGUAUUCAGCAGCCAACUUUCUUAUAAAACAUACGUACCUUUGAGAUUUUUGUCUCUUGAAUGCAGAUGAAAUGUACCCAGGUUAAAAAAAGAUAUGGGG